UCAGGAAGGUGAGGAGGAGAGAUUUCUUUAACCAGACAGUGGUGAAUCUGUGGAAUUAAUUGCCACAGAUGACCGUGGAGGCCAAGUCAUUGAGUAUUUUUAAAGUGGAGACUGAUGGAUUCUUGAUUAGU
This is a long non-coding RNA of Amblyraja radiata (thorny skate), 131 nucleotides long. RefSeq lists it as uncharacterized. Lineage: Eukaryota; Metazoa; Chordata; Chondrichthyes; Rajiformes; Rajidae. The transcript is spliced from 3 exons. The record is from RefSeq and is a predicted model, not a curated record.